This 225-nucleotide ribosomal RNA is filed under the name uncultured bacterium. Its description in RNAcentral is "partial 16S ribosomal RNA". It matches the Rfam family "Bacterial small subunit ribosomal RNA", at positions 524 to 741 of the family's 1533-position model. The record is from RNAcentral.
UACGGAGGGGGCUAGCGUUGUUCGGAAUUACUGGGCGUAAAGCGCACGUAGGCGGCUUUUUAAGUCAGAGGUGAAAGCCCGGAGCUCAACUCCGGAAUUGCCUUUGAGACUGGAUCGCUUGAACGUCGGAGAGGUGAGUGGACUUCCGAGUGUAGAGGUGAAAUUCGAUGAGAUAUUCGGAAGAACACUAGUGGCGGAAGGCGGACUCGACUGGACGACGUAGUU